AUGAACGCUGGCGGCGCGCCUAAUACAUGCAAGUCGAGCGAGAAGACGUAGCAAUACGUUUGUAAAGCGGCGAACGGGUGAGGAAUACAUGGGUAACCUACCCUCGAGUGGGGAAUAACUAGCCGAAAGGUUAGCUAAUACCGCGUACGCUCCUUGGACUUCGGUUCAGGGAGGAAAGCGAUACCGUGGGUAUCGCGCUCUUGGUUGGGCUCAUGUCCUAUCAGCUUGUUGGGAGGUAACGGCUCACCAAGGCUUCGACGGGUAGCUGGUCUGAGAGGACGAUCAGCCACACUGGCACUGCGACACGGGCCAGACUCCUACGGGAGGCAGCAGUAAGGAAUAUUGACGCAAUGGGCGAAAGCCUGACGCAGCGACGCCGCGU
Molecule: ribosomal RNA, 382 nt
Filed under: uncultured bacterium
Lineage: Bacteria
Description: bacterial SSU rRNA
Rfam family: Bacterial small subunit ribosomal RNA
Source: RNAcentral